Molecule: unclassified non-coding RNA, 350 nt
Filed under: soil metagenome
Description: partial contains 5.8S ribosomal RNA, internal transcribed spacer 2, and large subunit ribosomal RNA
Rfam family: 5.8S ribosomal RNA (bases 1-119)
Source: RNAcentral
GAUGAAGAACGUAGCGAAAUGCGAUAAGUAAUGCGAAUUGAAGAAUCCGUGAGUCAUCGAAUCUUUGAACGCAUAUUGCGCCCUUUGGCAUUCCGAAGGGCAUGCCUGUUCAAGCGUCAUUAUCACCCCUCAAGCCCCGGCUUGGUGUUGGGCCCCCGGUGGUCGUACCCGACCACCCGCCUCAAAGAUAGUGACGGCGUCCCAGAGGGAACCGGUACGAGGAGCUUUCACGAGCAUGUACGCGGGACGACUCUGUGGGCGACGGUCUUUUUUAACCUUAAUAUAUCAAGUGUUGACCUCGGAUCAGGUAGGAAUACCCGCUGAACUUAAGCAUAUCAAUAAGCGGAGGA